RNAcentral lists this ribosomal RNA (253 nucleotides) under uncultured bacterium. RNAcentral's name for it is "partial 16S ribosomal RNA". It matches the Rfam family "Bacterial small subunit ribosomal RNA", at positions 524 to 776 of the family's 1533-position model. The record is from RNAcentral.
UACGUAAGGGGCUAGCGUUGUCCGGAAUCAUUGGGCGUAAAGAGCGUGUAGGCGGUCCGGUAAGUCCGUUGUGAAAGUCAAAGGCUCAACCUUUGAACGCCGAUGGAUACUGCCGGGCUAGAGUCCGGAAGAGGCGAGUGGAAUUCCUGGUGUAGCGGUGGAAUGCGCAGAUAUCAGGAGGAACACCAAUAGCGAAGGCAGCUCGCUGGGACGGUACUGACGCUGAGGCGCGAAAGCGUGGGGAGCGAACAGG